Molecule: ribosomal RNA, 292 nt
Filed under: uncultured bacterium
Lineage: Bacteria
Description: partial 16S ribosomal RNA
Rfam family: Bacterial small subunit ribosomal RNA
Source: RNAcentral
GUGUCAGCAGCCGCGGUAAUACGGAGGGGGCAAGCGUUACUCGGAAUUAUUGGGCGUAAAGGGCGCGUAGGCGGUCGUGUGCGUCGGAGGUGAAAUCCCCGGGCUUAACCCGGGAGCUGCCUCCGAUACGGCAUGGCUUGAGUCCGGGAGAGGGGAGCAGAAUUCCCAGUGUAGCGGUGAAAUGCGUAGAUAUUGGGAGGAAUACCGGUGGCGAAGGCGGCUCCCUGGACCGGUACUGACGCUGAGGCGCGAAAGCGUGGGUAGCAAACAGGAUUAGAUACCCUCGUAGUCC